Molecule: ribosomal RNA, 566 nt
Filed under: marine sponge bacterium PLATEcassta+(2)-17
Lineage: Bacteria
Description: partial 16S ribosomal RNA
Rfam family: Bacterial small subunit ribosomal RNA
Source: RNAcentral
UGCAAGUCGAGCGCACCUUCNGGUGAGCGGCGGACGGGUUAGUAACGCGUGGGAAUAUACCCNGUUCUAAGGAAUANCCACUGGAAACGGUGAGUAAUACCUUAUACGCCCUUCGGGGGAAAGAUUUAUCGGAAUUGGAUUANNCCGCGUUAGAUUANAUAGUUGGNGGGGUAACGGNCUACCAAGUCNACNAUCUAUAGCUGGNUUGAGAGGAUGAUCANCAACACUGGGACUGAGACACGGCCCANACUCCUACGGGAGGCNGCAGUGGGGAAUCUUANACAAUGGGCGAAAGCCUGAUCUANCCNUGCCNCGUGAGUGAUGAAGGCCCUANGGUCGUAAAGCUCUUUCNCCANAGAUGAUAAUGACAGUAUCUGGUAAAGAAACCCCGGCUAACUCCGUGCCANCAGCCGCGGUAAUACGGAGGGGGUUAGCGUUGUUCGGAAUUACUGGGCGUAAAGCGUACGUANGCGGACUGAUCANUGAGAGGUGAAAUCCCAGGGNUCAACCCUGGAACUGCCUUUCAUACUGUCAGUCUUGAGUUCNAGAGAGGUGAGUGGAAUUCC